This 37-nucleotide non-coding RNA is filed under the name Trypanosoma brucei brucei. Lineage: Eukaryota; Euglenozoa; Kinetoplastea; Trypanosomatida; Trypanosomatidae. The record is from RNAcentral.
AAAUUAGUAUAGAGGAUGGUGGUUUUAUAUAUGAUUG